GUUUAUUCCCUAAGAAGAGGACCCAGUCUCCAUUAGCCAUUGGACUAUCAGGGUUUGAGCGAUGCUAUUGCAAUGAACAGGUUAAAUGAGCUCGGCAGCAGCCAAUUCAACCCUCCUCCCUGCCAUUUAAAGCAGCGGCUAUUACCACAAACACCAAGGAGGUGAGUCACUCCAUACACACCCAGCCAUGAGCACAGCCUGGCCUUAGCAUGAUCUCUGGUUUCUCCUGUCUCAGCUGCUGCAUUCCUCCUGGAAUAUCGUUUAACCCUCCAUUGACUCCUUGAGGUUAAUAAGCAGAGAGAGAGUGAGCUCAGCUGUUGACUGGCGCCUGCCAUCAGCGAACCCUCUCUGCGCCUGGAGCAGCCCAAUCUGGCUCUCAAAGGGUUAAACUUGCCGUCAGGGUUAUGCACUAACCUGCAAAUUGUUGAGGAAUCAAAGUGAAUUUUGGAGUUUAGGCUACCAUGCGAAACUGGAAGAGGACUCCAAGUCAGCGACGUUCUCACCUUAAUUGCUAAACUGUGAAUUCAUGUUUAAUUUUGGACAAUUUAUACUUUAGUUAAUAUCCCCGGUAUUAUACACUGCUCAAAAAAAUAAAGGGAACACAAAAAUAACACAUCCUAGAUCUGAAUUAAUGAAAUAUUCUUCUGAAAUACUUUGUUCUUUACAUAGUUGAAUGUGCAGACAAAAAAGUUUUAAAAUGGAAAUUAGAUUUUUCAACCCAUGGAGGUCUGGAUUUGGAGUCACACUCCAAAGUGGAAAAACACACUACAGGCUGAUCCAACUUUGAUGUAAUGUCCUGAAAACAAGUCAAAAUGAGGCUCAGUAGUGUGUGUGGCCUCCACGUGCCUGUAUGACCUCCCUACAAUGCCUGUGCAUGCUCCUGAUGAGGUGGUGGAUGGUCUCCUGAGGGAUCUCCUCACAGACCUGUACUAAAGCAUCUACCAACUCCUGGACAGUCUGUGGUGCAACGUGAUGUUGGUGGAUGGAGCGAGACAUGAUGUCCCAGAUGUGCUCAAUUGGAUUCAGGUCUGGGGAACGGGCGGGCCAGUCCAUAGCAUCAAUGCCUUUGUCUUGCAGGUACUGCUGACACACUCCAGCCACAUGAGGUCUAACAUUGUCUUGCAUUAGGUGGAACCCAGGGCCAACCGCACCAGCAUAUGGUAUCACAAGGGGUCUGAGGAUAUCUCGGUACCUAACGGCAGUCAAGCUACCUCUGGCGAGCACAUGGAGGACUGUGCGGCCCCCCAAAGAAAUGCCACCCCACACCAUUACUGACCCACUGCCAAACCGGUCAUUCUGGAGGAUGUUGCAGGCAGCAGAACGUUCUCCACUGCGUCUCCAGACUGUCACGUCUGUCACAUGUGCUCAGUGUGAACCUGCUUUCAUCUGUGAAGAGCACAGGGCGCCAGUGGCGAAUUUGCCAAUCUUGGUGUUCUCUGGCAAAUGCCAAACGUCCUGCACGGUGUUGGGCUGUAAGCACAAUCCCCACCUGUGGACGUCGGGCCCUCAUACCACCCUCAUGGAGUCUGUUUCUGACCGCUUGAGCAGACACAUGCACAUUUGUGGCCUGCUGGAGGUCAUUUUGCAGGGCUCUGGCAGUGCUCCUCCUGUUCCUCCUUGCACAAAGGCAGAGGUAGCGGUCCUGCUGCUGGGUUAUUGCCCUCCUAUGGCCUCCUUCACGUCUCCUGAUGUAUUGGCCUGUUUCCUGGUAGCGCCUCCAUGCUCUGGACACUACGAUGACAGACACAGCAAACCUUACCAUAUCUCUAAUUGAUGUGCCAUCCUGGAUGAGCUGCACUACCUGAGCCACUUGUGUGGGUUGUAGACUCCGUCUCAUGCUACCACUAGAGUGAAAGCACCGCCAGCAUUCAAAAGUCACCAAAACAUCAGCCAGGAAGCAAAGGAACUGAGAAGUGGUCUGUGGUCACCACCUGCAGAACCAUUCCUUUAUUGUGGGUGUCUUGCUAAUUGCCAAUAAUUUUCACCUGUUGUCUAUCCCAUUUGCAAUGCUGGCACAGACGGGCGACAACCGUUACUAAAUCACAGCUAUAAAAUGCACAUAGCGCGGGUCAGCAGUAUAAUCGGCUAGAAGCCAGCCAUUAAAUAGGAAAGCCGCUCACAAUAGGGAAACAACCAAACCCCACUCGUCUAGGAAAAAUAGAUCAUUUUAUUUCCAUGGGAGAUUAUUACGGCUUUAUGCCCUCGCUGUGCUGGUGAGCUGAAAAUCAAAAUUUGAAAAGAAUUGCUGGGUUGGACAAUUUUCUUCUCCCAGAAUUUGGUGAUUGAUUCACCACAAUUGCGUGUUUGGUGAAUAAUUCCACUGACACAAAUAGAUCAUUUUGUGAAGCUCAGACGCACAGAGUGAUAUCCUGAUAUAGCCAACACAGGGCUGUGGGAGGACUUAUUCAUACGUAUAAACAUAUACAUGGGGAUAAAACAACCACUUUCUAUUCUCUUAUAAAACUUCCCAAAUAUUACUACUACGUUUUUACCUUGCAACAAUUUGUAAUUUACAAACAAAGUGAAUUUUAAAUGUGACGCCAACAUGGCGACCUAAAAGCAAAGCUGAAUUGGAGAAUUUUUCCACAUUGUCUGUUUUGGACUAACAUUUUGAAUUAAUCUUGAUGCCACUUUGAAUUCACAGUGAAUAUUGAUUUUAGGACCAUGAGAUCAGACUGCGGCAGAAUACAUAGUUACAUUGCUACUUAGGAAAAAAAAGAGUCCAACCUUUCAGAGACAUCUCUGUAUGCUGUUUAUAAGAAGAAAGAAAAAAGUAUAAAUAAAUCCCAAUAUAAUGCAUUAGACAAUAUUUCCUCCCCCCCGAAAGAAUAGAAAAUACUUAUUGUCACAAUCAUAGCAAUCAGGGUUCUCCUUGGAUCGAUACGCUCUUCAC
RNAcentral lists this long non-coding RNA (2893 nucleotides) under Pelobates cultripes (western spadefoot toad). Lineage: Eukaryota; Metazoa; Chordata; Amphibia; Anura; Pelobatidae. The record is from RNAcentral.